ACACACGCCGACGCCGCUGCCGCCGCUGCAGUCGCUGCACAACAUGCGCGACGCCGCCGCCGCCGCCACCGACCGCGCCAAGCGGAACGUGCUCUCCUCCGUCAACCGCACUUAACAGGAUGACUUGAAGACAGGCAGAGACAGUUAAGUGCUAGUGAAGAAUAGACUUUGUGUCGAGGCGUUAAGGAUCAUAUUCUAUUGGAAUCGCUGCCGUGCCCUGGAUAUAUGGGGAGUGUAGUUCGAAAGUAUCUUUAAGAGUUUUAUUAUUGAUACAAUGGUAUAUAUGUAGUCAUAUAGUGGAUAGAUUGGACUAUGAGUUGCUUAGUAGAAAUUGAGGAGUAACUGGUACUUAAGCUUAGAAUAAAUUUAAAAGUGGAAAAAUUACUGUCUUGGAGACUUGAACUCACGGCCUGUAGAUCGAUACCACAAAAUAAGUAAUAGAAUUAUCAUACAGAACGGCUACGCACCACCCCGCCCCAACUCGCAUUACCUCGCCCCGCGACUGGCCGCGACAUGAAUCUGGCGGACUUCUGGCGUCCUCUCGGUAAAGCGACUUACCCACACAUGCACAAUGACGCGUGUACAGACGUGCCGCGCACACAUAUAAACGCAAAUGAUUUUUGAUGUAUGGCGUGUCCGCCAUGUGUCGAUACUCCAGCGCUCUACCAUCAAGACCUCAUCCAUAGCCAGCAAAUCUUUCCACCAUAUGGGUCAUAUGGGGUUUUUCCACUUUUAAAUUUAUGCUAAGCUUAAUAGCAUGGUUCGCAGACGUUUCUGCUUGUUGUAAAUUAUAACUGGUACUUGGUAAAAAAAUCAUAUCAGAUUUCUGUGCAAGAAAAGCAUAUAAAACUAUUACCUCAAAAAAUAAUGUCUUUAGGGGCCCACUGAUUAACAGUCCGCCGGACAGAAUCGGCCUGUCAGUUAGAACAAAAAGUUUACAGUUCUGAACAACUCACAGGCAGAUACCAUCCGGCGGACUGUUAAUCAGUGGGCCCCUUUACAUCAUUGUGGAAAAGAGUUGAUACUCUUCAAACUGCUGGAUCGAUUUCUAUCAAACAUAGCUAAGUACCACCGCAAGGAAACUCGCUUUCACUUAACACUGGUAGGCACUCGUAACGUAAUGUUUGCUCAGACAACCCGCCCAGAUAGACGACCGGUUUCUGGGAUAGUGCGCCGUUUUUUGCCCGGUUGCGAAAGUGUUAAAACAAUUGCAUCGAAAUCGGUCCAUCCGUUUGAGAGCUACGAUGCCACAGACAAACAAACAGACAGACAUUCAUAUAACACCCCUCUUUUUAGCGUCAGGGGUUAAAACUUGCCAAUUUGUAAAUUUUGGUCUCAUUUUGCUUGAAUUUGAGACAUUACUGCCAAUUGUAAUAACAGGUAAAAAGUGUUGUUUUUUUUUUGCUUUUGGUACUGAUUUGCAAAAAUAAAUGCAACUGUUGUUAUACCACACUGUCGUAUAUAAUAAAUGUUACUACAUUUUUUUAUUGCCUAAGACCCAGUUGCACCAUUCCACUAACCCGGGGUUAACCGGUUAAACCUGGCGUUACAAUGGUUACCAGUAUGAUUCGACACUAGGUUAACCGUUUAACCGCUUAAUCCCGGGUUAGUGGAAUGGUGCAAAUGGGCCUAAUUAAGACUCUAUUCGUGUCAAUUUAAUAUAUUUUGGAAAAUAUUAGAAUAUAAAUAAAUUUAGAAAUUUCGAUAAAAAAAGCAAACCGUUUUCAUCUCUGGGUAUUAACAUUAUCAAUAAGAUAGCAAAACCAAAAUAUUACCAUAUUUUUGUAAGUUUCUAACAGUUCUUCAGAAAACAAGAUUAAAAGGUAAAAACUAGUGCCUACGCCAAUUCUUGGGAUUAGUUGCCAAGCGGACCCCAGGCUUCCAUGAGCCGUGGCAAAAUGCCGGGACAACGCAAGAAAGAUGAUAAUGUUAGUAUUUAGAGAGGAAACUAGGGACUACGUUUGUAUGGAGUAGCGGUUGUCCACUUUCCUCUAUUUAUACAUGUAUCUAAAGUACGAAGCUUAUGUAAAAUUUGAUGCUAUUUAUUUAUAUUAUGUAUACGCUUGUAUGUUCAUUUACGUAUGCAUGUGCUAUUUUCAUUUCACUGCCAUAAAAACGUUAUGUGCAUAGACUUCAAUACUAAAUACGGCGCGAUUCGGGAAAUGAAUUAGACAUUCACUAGACAUGAAAUAGUAACGAUAUGUGACGUUCCACAGCAAAAGGUACCUUAUGGCCGCAAUAAUAUUGGAGCGGCAUUAAUAAUAGCGUAAGUACCAACCGCCAUAGGGUACCUUUUGCCGUGGAACGUCACAUAUCGUUACUAUAUCAUGUCUAGUGAAUGUCUAAUUCAUUUCCCGAAUCGCGCCGAUAGUGUGUUUAACCCUUCAACGGUCCAGAUUAAAAAAUACUCAAUUCAAGCCUCAUUACAUCGCUAGGCCUAAAAAUUCUGCAUAAAAAAUACAAAAAGAUAAUGGUAAAAUAAUAGUUAUACGAUCUUCGGUCAUGUUUCAAUUUAUCGCCACUCGUUGCGAAUUUCCUACUUUUCGCACUUGUAUAGUAAUGUAUAGUUUGUAGGUUUCUAAUAGAGGCCGAAGGCUAAUACUAUUGUCUAUUGUUAAGUAAAACCGCAUGUGCCACGUGCCACAACCACCUGCAUAAAAAUACGUACUUCGGUUACUGAGUGCCGGCGAGUCGAACGCUACAGAACCAGUCUAAAAUGUGUCAUCGAGAUGCGUAACAAAGGCGCGUUAUCGGAAAGCGCAGCGACGCUGGUUUUUUGAGCGUUGGACUAGCCUACGCUUAGAUGCCAAAAUAAGACCCUUUUUUGCAGAUAAGUAGCACGUCCGGUUUUACUUAACAAUAGACAAUAGGAUUAGCCGUCGGGCUCUAUUAGAAACCUACAAAUUAUACUAUUAAUCACUAGGGGAGGGCAGUUGCUCCUUCCCCCCAUGCCUCCUGGCGACGCCCUUGCUCCCUCGUAUAAAGGACGCGAAGCACGAAGAAUUUCGUACAUUGACCCGCCAUCUCCUAUCUCUAUCGCACGCGCAUAGUUAUAUUGCUGUCCCGCUCAUGAUGCCGGCGGUCAAUACCACUGUGCGAGCGGGACAGCAUAGUGUUCUAUAUUUGAAGUCCAUUGCAUUCAGCUACUUUGUACCUACGAAACCGCAUUCCAACUGUGGGUUAUGUGAAUGGGGUUGGCAACUGUCAUGGCUCCUCUACACGAUGGGCCAGCGCCGGCCACUCCAAGGGACACAGCCAUGCGGUAGAAUGAGAUAGCAAUAUCACUUGCUCCCUCUAACGCAUACAUGCGUCCCUUGGAGUGGCCGGCGUUGGCCCAACGUGUAGAGAAGCCCU
Molecule: long non-coding RNA, 3354 nt
Organism: Cydia fagiglandana
Lineage: Eukaryota; Metazoa; Arthropoda; Insecta; Lepidoptera; Tortricidae
Exons: 3
Source: RefSeq, a predicted model, not a curated record